Molecule: ribosomal RNA, 804 nt
Filed under: Pseudarthrobacter sp.
Lineage: Bacteria; Bacillati; Actinomycetota; Actinomycetes; Micrococcales; Micrococcaceae
Description: bacterial SSU rRNA
Rfam family: Bacterial small subunit ribosomal RNA
Source: RNAcentral
CGAUGAAGCCCACUUGUGGGUGGAUUAGUGGCGAACGGGUGAGUAACACGUGAGUAACCUGCCCUUGACUCUGGGAUAAGCCUGGGAAACUGGGUCUAAUACCGGAUAUGACUGAUCAUCGCAUGGUGGUUGGUGGAAAGCUUUUUGUGGUUUUGGAUGGACUCGCGGCCUAUCAGCUUGUUGGUGAGGUAAUGGCUUACCAAGGCGACGACGGGUAGCCGGCCUGAGAGGGUGACCGGCCACACUGGGACUGAGACACGGCCCAGACUCCUACGGGAGGCAGCAGUGGGGAAUAUUGCACAAUGGGCGCAAGCCUGAUGCAGCGACGCCGCGUGAGGGAUGACGGCCUUCGGGUUGUAAACCUCUUUCAGUAGGGAAGAAGCGAAAGUGACGGUACCUGCAGAAGAAGCGCCGGCUAACUACGUGCCAGCAGCCGCGGUAAUACGUAGGGCGCAAGCGUUAUCCGGAAUUAUUGGGCGUAAAGAGCUCGUAGGCGGUUUGUCGCGUCUGCCGUGAAAGUCCGGGGCUCAACUCCGGAUCUGCGGUGGGUACGGGCAGACUAGAGUGAUGUAGGGGAGACUGGAAUUCCUGGUGUAGCGGUGAAAUGCGCAGAUAUCAGGAGGAACACCGAUGGCGAAGGCAGGUCUCUGGGCAUUAACUGACGCUGAGGAGCGAAAGCAUGGGGAGCGAACAGGAUUAGAUACCCUGGUAGUCCAUGCCGUAAACGUUGGGCACUAGGUGUGGGGGACAUUCCACGUUUUCCGCGCCGUAGCUAACGCAUUAAGUGCCCCGCCUGGGGAGUAC